Molecule: signal recognition particle RNA, 195 nt
Filed under: Podiceps cristatus (great crested grebe)
Lineage: Eukaryota; Metazoa; Chordata; Aves; Podicipediformes; Podicipedidae
Description: Metazoan signal recognition particle RNA
Rfam family: Metazoan signal recognition particle RNA
About the family: The signal recognition particle (SRP) is a universally conserved ribonucleoprotein. It is involved in the co-translational targeting of proteins to membranes. The eukaryotic SRP consists of a 300-nucleotide 7S RNA and six proteins: SRPs 72, 68, 54, 19, 14, and 9.
Source: Rfam by way of RNAcentral
AGUUCUGGGCUGCAGUGAGCUAUGCCAAGUGAGCAUCUGCACUAGGGCUGGCAUCAGUAUGGUGAGCCCCGAGGAGCUAGGGGACACCAAGUUGACUACGAAGGGUGAACUGGCCCAGGUCGGAGAUGGAGCAGGUCAAAGCUCCCAUACUGGUCAGUAGUGGGAUCGCACCUGUGAAUAGCCACUGCAAAACAG